UACGUAGGCAGCAAGCGUUGUUCGGAGUUACUGGGCGUAAAGGGUGUGUAGGUGGCCUGUUAAGUUCCGUGUGAAAUCUCCCGGCUCAACCGGGAGGGUGCGCGGAAAACUGGCGGGCUAGAGUACGGGAUGGGAGAGUAGAAUUCCUGGUGUAGCGGUGAAAUGCGUAGAUAUCAGGAGGAACACCGGUGGCGAAGGCGGUUCUCUGGGCCUGUACUGACGCUGAGGAACGAAAGCGUGGGGAGCGAACAGG
This 253-nucleotide ribosomal RNA is filed under the name uncultured bacterium. Its description in RNAcentral is "partial 16S ribosomal RNA". It matches the Rfam family "Bacterial small subunit ribosomal RNA", at positions 524 to 776 of the family's 1533-position model. The record is from RNAcentral.